RNAcentral lists this ribosomal RNA (338 nucleotides) under uncultured bacterium. RNAcentral describes it as "bacterial SSU rRNA". It matches the Rfam family "Bacterial small subunit ribosomal RNA", at positions 30 to 369 of the family's 1533-position model. The record is from RNAcentral.
AUUGAACGCUGGCGGCAUGCCUUACACAUGCAAGUCGAACGGGCAGCGGACCUUCGGGUGCCGGCGAGUGGCGAACGGGUGAGUAAUAUAUCGGAACGUACCUUUCAGUGGGGGAUAACGUAGCGAAAGUUACGCUAAUACCGCAUAUUCUGUGAGCAGGAAAGCAGGGGAUCGCAAGACCUUGCGCUGAUUGAGCGGCCGAUAUCAGAUUAGCUAGUUGGUGAGGUAAAGGCUCACCAAGGCGACGAUCUGUAGCGGGUCUGAGAGGAUGAUCGCCACACUGGAACUGAGACACGGUCCAGACUCCUACGGGAGGCGAGCAGUGGGGAAUUUUGGAC